Molecule: unclassified non-coding RNA, 233 nt
Filed under: uncultured Clavulina
Lineage: Eukaryota; Fungi; Basidiomycota; Agaricomycetes; Cantharellales; Hydnaceae
Description: sequence contains ITS2
Source: RNAcentral
AAUUCUCAAGCUGGAUGGCUUUAUUGCUGUCUCAGUUUGGUUUUGGGCUUUGCCGUCUCCUCUUCUGGAACGGCUGGCCUUAAAAGUAUUAGCUGACCCUCGUUUGCGAGAUUGGUUCUACUCAGCGUGAUAAUCUUAUGACCGCUGAGGACAUCUUUCGGGAUGGCCAGUCUUGCCUUGGAUCGCUUCUAAUCCUGGCGCUUGGAGUCCGUCUCCGAGCCCGUCAUUUUCAA